GUUAGUCGGGACCUAAGCCGAGGCAGAGAUGCGUAGGCGAUGGCCAACAGGUAGAAAUUCCUGUACCGGUGCGUGUCCGUUUGAGUGAUGUGGUGACGCAGUAGGAUAGAUGGAGCGUGUGGAAGGUAGAGCACGUCCAAGCAGUGAGUGGGCAGGACAGGCAAAUCCGUCCUGUAUCAACCAUGAGCUGUGAUGGGGAGCCGAAAUUGAGUAGGCGAAGCCAUUGAUUUCACACUGCCAAGAAAAG
Molecule: ribosomal RNA, 247 nt
Filed under: Chloropicon mariensis
Lineage: Eukaryota; Viridiplantae; Chlorophyta; Chloropicophyceae; Chloropicales; Chloropicaceae
Description: partial Bacterial large subunit ribosomal RNA
Rfam family: Bacterial large subunit ribosomal RNA
Source: RNAcentral